Molecule: long non-coding RNA, 429 nt
Filed under: Linum usitatissimum (flax)
Lineage: Eukaryota; Viridiplantae; Streptophyta; Magnoliopsida; Malpighiales; Linaceae
Description: long non-coding RNA (LUSI_LNC005943)
Source: RNAcentral
UGAAUAUUAUUAAGCAAAACAACACCAAACGAAAGCAACUUUAAGCAAACUUACACACACAACAAGCAAUUAAUUAACAUAAUUACGCAUAAAGCCAGCCCAUCCCACGCUGCCAUAUAUAUUACUAAAAAGUACUCCAAAAGCAACAAAACAACAAAAUAGCCCCAAAGUUACCCUCAACGUUCCAUUUCCUGCCCAACUUUUACAUAAACCCCAAAAAUCCCAAAGUUUCCCUCAACGUUCCAUUUUCUGCCCAACUUUUACAUUAAACCCCCAAAAUUCCCCUCUUAUUAAAAAUUCCCACUAAUAUAAUAAUAAUAAUGGCAAAUUAAUUCACCAGAAACACAUCCGCCGCCGCCGCCGCCGAUCCCAUACUCAUCGCCUGACUCAUCACCCCCGAGUUCACCGGACUCCAAAAUCAGCCGCCGN